This is a long non-coding RNA of Canis lupus familiaris (dog), 2655 nucleotides long. RefSeq lists it as uncharacterized. The transcript has 3 exons. Lineage: Eukaryota; Metazoa; Chordata; Mammalia; Carnivora; Canidae. The record is from RefSeq and is a predicted model, not a curated record.
CUGCCCGCGGCCCGGCCCCCCCUCCGCUGCUCCCCCCGCCAUUCUCCGGACCUCUUGGGUCACCCUUUCCCCUCGACCAGCCGCGCUUUCCCCUUCUCCCCACCCUUAUCUGAUUUCGGUGACUUUCCGCCCCGAGCUGCGUGCUGUCCGCGGCUCGCUGAUUCAGUCCCCCCGGCUGUGGGCCCAUUUUACAGCUCUGAGAGGUCAGGGGAUCGCCAAGAGUGACCAAGCUGCCACACCACAGGGAUUGAUUGGGACAGGGCCCAGGCCUGGUCGUCCAGCGAAGCCGCAUCCUCCUGGCUGCAUGACCUCACCCACGUUGAGCCAACCAUAGUGUCUCCCAGCUGCUGGAAAUCUGGAUUUGAGCUUGAGGGGAUCAGACGCUGGGGUCACUGGGCACCACCAUAUGGAGACUGAGCGUGAGGACAGUACAGCAGAAGCAAAGCCGAGAGAUGGAGAGAAAUCAGGAGUUCCAGAUGAAGUCACCGCGAGUGGGAUUUCGUUUCCUUGACAGAUCCACGGGCUGCAAGUCAAGGAUUACUCUAUAGCUCAGGUCACUGAGAUCCAGAAACUUCUCUUAGGGCCACACACCAUUAGCUGAGCCAGGACCAGGGUUUAGUCUUCAUUCCUAAUCUGACAGGCUCCUCCCUGAGACCUGGCCGUCUCCAUAAGCAAGCUUGGCAGGGUGGCUGCAUGAGCCCUACACACAGGAGCCUCUGAAAGCCAGGCUAGAGACCGCCAGGAUGACCUCCUGUCCGCAGUGCCUCCAAGGCACAGAUGGAUUAAUGUGGGACAGAUGAGCCACCCCCUCUCCAAGCAGCAAGUAACCGCAGGGCUUCUCUGUCCCCUGAUGUUCAUGUAAACGUUUUAGUCUGACCAGCGGCCAGGCCACAACCUAUACAGACACACUCAUCACCUUGCUAGCAUCGUCACACCAAAAAUUACUUACCUCUUGCUUGCCACUGAGUCCUAAGCAAUACAGGUUCAUCUCUUUGAACCCCAGGUUCUCCCCGUUUCUGAAGACCCCACUGACCUACAGAUUCAAUCGGCAGAUCCUUAUUGUGUGCCGACUCCAGCCAAGCACUGCACUAGUUGAUUGGGAACACAAAAAGGAAGCAUCAGCACUUGUGUAUUUGACAAAGGUUUACUGAGCCAAGCACCGUGUGCCAGCCACAUUUCAAAGGCUGGUGGAUGCAGCCAGCAGCGAAUUCACAAGAGAGUCUGUUGUCCUCGUGGCACCUAUGGUGUGGUAGAGGGAUAUGACGAGGCAGUGGGUCGUAAUUGCUUUUGGUCACUCAACCUUGCUGAAUAUUAGCUCCUGAUUCCCCAUUUGUGUAGGGAGAAGCUGGGGGCAGAGCAAGAAUGACGAGCCCAGGAGCCACUAAAUAGUAGAGUCAGGAUUCAAAUCCCAUCCCGCUGACUCCAGAGACCUGCAUUAUCACCAGUGUAUGCUGCCUCGCAAAGUCAGUGAGUUCAUAUUGUCUGAGUGUGGGUACAAUUCCAACCACGUCCAAUUGCUCCUUUUCUCCCAGAAAUAAGAAUUGUGAACGUGGGAACCCAGAGACAGGCAACACUACUGCGGUGAAUUUCUUCGCACUGCUAAUGUCCCGAUGAGAUGACCGCUUGUCUUCCACUUACCUGUAAUCCCAGAGAUUCUCUUCUUGCCCCUUGCAGUCUGAUUCUCGGCUGUUCAUUAUAUCCUGCAGGCCGCCCAUAUACGUCCAGUAAGCUCCCCUCCAGGCUCAGUUGGAGUCUGUUUCGGUUGCACACCAGCAGAAGACCUAACAGAUACAGAAAGUCCACAAUUACCUGCCACACGUAACAAAGACCAGGGGCUUGGGGCUUCCUAGCUGUGUGCAAGAGCCAAAGGAAAUUUGGACCUAGGGGAAGGUAUUUGUGCAAAGGGGGAGAGAGCUCCGGGUACAGGAGGAGACAGGCUGCAAGUCAAAUAUGUCAGCAGUCCUAGGGUGCAUAUUUUCAUCUCAAUCACUGAGGGAAAAAAAAUUGGUUUGGGCUCCUAUCUGGCACUUUCUCCUUCUUCCCUUGGAUGUGAAGAUUGCAUGCUUGCAGGGAGCAGACCACCAGUGGUGUCUCACAUGGGGUUCAGACAGACAUCAAAGUUAAUCCGCUCUCUGAUCUAAGCAAAAUGGUGAUGAGGGUUUCUUGGGACAGCAGCUCCACUAAUUGUGGCACCGCAGCCCGGCUGAUGUAUUUUUAGAAUAUUGUGGAUUUUCACAUAGUAUCAUUGCUUUCUGCAGGAAAACUGUCAGACUAGAAGCUGGGGGUUUGGAAUACAGUGGUAUCUAAUGCAGGGUCCCCUGGACCUGAACUUUUAAGAAUAAGAAAAUAAGUAAACACUUUCCUUUUUUUAUCAGGCGCUGUGACUCUCUGCCCACUCAUCUGUAUGAAUGUUUCCAAUUUCAAUCAUUUGUCAAGUUUUACUUCUUUGAUCUGUUCUUCACAUCCAAAAGAUUCCCCCAGAUAUCUGUCUUGGCUUAUGUCUUGCCACCCUACGCUCUUAGAGUUUUAACUAAUAUCUUUAUGACUUUGUAGGGGCCAAGGGCAGGCUGCCCCAAGGUGAGCCACUUUGGCGUGAACAUUAUUUUGAAUUAAAAGCAAUGAGGGAAAAAAUAAAAAAUAAAAAAUAAAAGCAAU